RNAcentral lists this ribosomal RNA (647 nucleotides) under uncultured bacterium. RNAcentral's name for it is "bacterial SSU rRNA". It matches the Rfam family "Bacterial small subunit ribosomal RNA", at positions 8 to 682 of the family's 1533-position model. The record is from RNAcentral.
AGAGUUUGAUCCUGGCUCAGGAUGAACGCUGGCGGUGUGCCUAAGGCAUGCAAGUCGAACGCUCUAGUUUACUAGAGAGUGGCAGACGGGUGAGUAACGCGUAGGAAACCUACCCUUGAGUGGAGAAUAGCCCACCGAAAGGUGGAGUAAUACUCCAUAGUCCCUAUUAACGAAAGUUAUGUGGGUAAAGAUUUAUCGCUCAAGGAGGGGCCUGCGUCCUAUCAGGUAGUUGGUGGGGUAAGAGCCUACCAAGCCAAUAACGGGUAGCCGGUGUGAGAGCACGACCGGUCACAAGGUUACUGAGACACGGAGCCUACACCUACGGGUGGCAGCAACCAGGAAUAUUGCGCAAUGGACGAAAGUCUGACGCAGCGACACCGCGUGUGGGAUGAAGCUUUUCGGAGUGUAAACCACUGUGGCGAAGGAUGAAGUACUGACAGUACUUCGCUAGAAAGCACCAGCUAACUACGUGCCAGAAGCUUCGGUAAUACGUAGGGUGCAAGCGUUAUCCGGAUUUACUGGGCGUAAAGGGUCCGUAGGCGGCCUGAUAAGUUUCUUGUUUAAGCCCGAGGCUCAACUUCGGACAGGCAAGAAAAACUAUCAGGAUUGAGUUAGUUCGAGGUAGUUGGAAUUCUCUGUGGAGGGGU